RNAcentral lists this ribosomal RNA (510 nucleotides) under uncultured bacterium. Its description in RNAcentral is "partial 16S ribosomal RNA". It matches the Rfam family "Bacterial small subunit ribosomal RNA", at positions 28 to 507 of the family's 1533-position model. The record is from RNAcentral.
GACGAACGCUGGCGGCGUGCUUAACACAUGCAAGUCGAACGAAGAGCGAUGGAAGCUUGCUUCUAUCAAUCUUAGUGGCGAACGGGUGAGUAACGCGUAAUCAACCUGCCCUUCAGAGGGGGACAACAGUUGGAAACGACUGCUAAUACCGCAUACGAUCUAAUCUCGGCAUCGAGGAUAGAUGAAAGGUGGCCUCUACAUGUAAGCUAUCACUGAAGGAGGGGAUUGCGUCUGAUUAGCUAGUUGGAGGGGUAACGGCCCACCAAGGCGAUGAUCAGUAGCCGGUCGGAGAGGAUGAACGGCCACAUUGAGACUGAGACACGGCCCAGACUCCUACGGGAGGCAGCAGGGGGGAAUCUUCCGGAAUGGACGAAAGUCUGACGGAGCAACGCCGCGGGAGUGAUGACGGCCGUCGGGUUGUAAAGCUCUGUUAAUCGGGACGAAAGGCCUUCUUGCGAACAGUUAGAAGGAUUGACGGUACCGGAAUAGAAAGCCACGGCUAACUACGUG